CUACACAAUUUUGUUUUUUUUGUUAUGAAAAGACAUAACAACCCAAAUUUAUUUGUUUAUGUUUUAAGCUUUGCGUCAGCUCAGCUAGUCUUUCUUUCUUCCUCUAGAUAUUGUGCAGCACUACUUGAUGAAUUAUGUCCUGUUAACUCAAAAAAAGCAAGAACCAGCUUUAGAAUAAAGCCACAAAGGGUUCCAAAAAGAAUAUAUAUAAAUAAAUAAAAGCACUGCACAAAAACGAAAAAAUAAAGUGAAGAAACAACAACCACAACAAGGAGUCAGAUGAGGCUUCAGAACUUGUCCUGCUGCAACCGCUAUUUGCAGAAGUUGAAAAGCAAAAACAAGAAAUUGAAGAAGAAAGUUCGUACCUGCACUCAUUUCUAUCUUCCACACCAAACAGAGCCACUGUGGAUUGUACCUUCUUUGUAGUGUAGUUAGAGGUCACGUGGGAAGCCGACACAGUUCAAUCAAUAACAAGUGAACUGCCCACUUGACUUAACUGAAAACACACACAAAAAUUAUGAUAUUAAUAAUAACACCUGUUUGGAUGAAAUUAUUGUGUUGGUA
Molecule: long non-coding RNA, 564 nt
Filed under: Prunus persica (peach)
Lineage: Eukaryota; Viridiplantae; Streptophyta; Magnoliopsida; Rosales; Rosaceae
Description: long non-coding RNA (PPER_LNC007429)
Source: RNAcentral